Molecule: long non-coding RNA, 588 nt
Filed under: Paramuricea clavata
Lineage: Eukaryota; Metazoa; Cnidaria; Anthozoa; Malacalcyonacea; Plexauridae
Source: RNAcentral
GCUCUUGGGAAUUUAAAGGCAGCUUCUUAAACGGUUUCUUUAUUCAUCAUAAAAUUUACUUAUGUCAAGCUUUGAUGCACGUGUGGGUUCAGCAGAGUGCUGAGGCAUUCAAAUUCUAACAAUACGUUAUUUCAAUAGUUUUCGUUUUUUUGGGACAUCACAUAAUCAAUUAUUUACAGUCGAUCAAUACACCCAAAAUCCUGAUAAUAAAGGGUACCUAGCUCUCUAAAUAAAGCCUAUUUGUUCAUCAAUGAUUUUAUUUUUCAGCCUAGAUGUGAACUCGAUCAGAAAUGUGCAGGGCCUGGUAGUACAUGUCAUUGUGAUAAACUUCCUCUUAGUUGUUUCGGUUUUCAGACAGUGGUGGGAACGUUUGUUUAUAAGUGUACUCAAGUAACACUAGAUACACCUCGCAUUGGCUAUACCAAGAACAAGCCUACAAAAAAACUUACGUUUUGGUGACAUUGUUGGUCUCAUCUGGUUUCAUGCAUGUAAAACAUCACAGGACAUGAUCAGUUCAGCCGUUCAGGAAAUAUUUCCACUUUUGAAGGUAUUUUUAUCGGCAAACUGCACGUAUCAUUCUUCAGUCCU